This 71-nucleotide transfer RNA is filed under the name Pollimyrus adspersus. RNAcentral describes it as "tRNA-Asp". It matches the Rfam family "tRNA". From Rfam's summary of the family: Transfer RNA (tRNA) molecules are approximately 80 nucleotides in length. The record is from RNAcentral. Lineage: Eukaryota; Metazoa; Chordata; Actinopteri; Osteoglossiformes; Mormyridae.
AAGACACUAGUAAAAUACUAUUACACCGCCUUGUCGAGGCGGAGUUGUAGGUUGAACCCCUGCGUGCCUUA